GAUGAAGAACGUAGUGAAAUGCGAUAAGUAAUGUGAAUUGUAGAAUUCAGUGAAUCAUCGAAUCUUUGAACGCACAUUGCGCCCAUUAGUAUUCUAGUGGGCAUGCCUGUUCGAGCGUCAUUAAGUCCACUUAAGCCCUGCUUAGUGUUGGGAGACUGCUCCAGCGGUGCUACCCUGUAGCUACCCUGCAGCUCCUCAAAGACAGCGGCGGAGUUGUGGUAUCCUCUGAGCUUAGUAACUUGUUCUAGCUUUCGAGUACACCACUUCCCCUGCCGUAAAACCCUUAAUUUUUAAUGGUUGACCUCGGAUCAGGUAGGAAUACCCGCUGAACUUAAGCAUAUCAAUAAGCGGAGGA
Molecule: unclassified non-coding RNA, 355 nt
Filed under: soil metagenome
Description: partial contains 5.8S ribosomal RNA, internal transcribed spacer 2, and large subunit ribosomal RNA
Rfam family: 5.8S ribosomal RNA (bases 1-120)
Source: RNAcentral